Molecule: small nuclear RNA, 105 nt
Filed under: Ailuropoda melanoleuca (giant panda)
Lineage: Eukaryota; Metazoa; Chordata; Mammalia; Carnivora; Ursidae
Source: RNAcentral
GUGGCUCACUUCGGCAGCACAUACUCUAAAAUUGGAAUGAUACAGAGAUUAUUAUGGCCCCUGCACAAGGAUGACAUGCAACUCUGUGAAGCGUUCCAUAAAACA